This 253-nucleotide ribosomal RNA is filed under the name uncultured bacterium. RNAcentral describes it as "partial 16S ribosomal RNA". It matches the Rfam family "Bacterial small subunit ribosomal RNA", at positions 524 to 776 of the family's 1533-position model. The record is from RNAcentral.
UACAGAGGCCUCAAGCGUUAAUCGGAAUCACUGGGCUUAAAGGGCGCGUAGGCGGCGCUGCAAGUGCCUUGUGAAAUCCCAUCGCUUAACGAUGGAACUGCUCGGUAGACUGCAGUGCUUGAGGUUGGUAGGGGCUGCCGGAACUCUAGGUGGAGCGGUGAAAUGCGUAGAUAUCUAGAGGAACGCCCAAGGCGAAGGCAGGCAGCUGGGCCAAUUCUGACGCUGAGGCACGAAAGCGUGGGGAGCAAACGGG